Molecule: ribosomal RNA, 576 nt
Filed under: uncultured bacterium
Lineage: Bacteria
Description: partial 16S ribosomal RNA
Rfam family: Bacterial small subunit ribosomal RNA
Source: RNAcentral
UGGGGAAUUUUGGACAAUGGGCGAAAGCCUGAUCCAGCAAUGCCGCGUGUGUGAAGAAGGCCUUCGGGUUGUAAAGCACUUUUGUCCGGAAAGAAAUCCUUGGCUCUAAUACAGUCGGGGGAUGACGGUACCGGAAGAAUAAGCACCGGCUAACUACGUGCCAGCAGCCGCGGUAAUACGUAGGGUGCAAGCGUUAAUCGGAAUUACUGGGCGUAAAGCGUGCGCAGGCGGUUGCUAAGACCGAUGUGAAAUCCCCGGGCUCAACCUGGGAACUGCAUUGGUGACUGGCAGGCUAGAGUAUGGCAGAGGGGGGUAGAAUUCCACGUGUAGCAGUGAAAUGCGUAGAGAUGUGGAGGAAUACCGAUGGCGAAGGCAGCCCCCUGGGCCAAUACUGACGCUCAUGCACGAAAGCGUGGGGAGCAAACAGGAUUAGAUACCCUGGUAGUCCACGCCCUAAACGAUGUCAACUAGUUGUUGGGGAUUCAUUCCUUAGUAACGUAGCUAACGCGUGAAGUUGACCGCCUGGGGAGUACGUCGCAAGAUUAAAACUCAAAUGAAUUGACGGGGUCAUAGCUG